UACGUAGGGUGCAGGCGUUAAUCGGAAUUACUGGGCGUAAAGCGUGCGCAGGCGGUCUGCUAAGACAGGUGUGAAAUCCCCGAGCUUAACCUGGGAACUGCGCUUGUUACUGGCAGGCUGGAGUGUGGCAGAGGGGGGUGGAAUUCCACGUGUAGCAGUGAAAUGCGUAGAGAUGUGGAGGAACACCGAUGGCGAAGGCAGCCCCCUGGGCUAACACUGACGCUCAUGCACGAAAGCGUGGGGAGCAAACAGG
Molecule: ribosomal RNA, 253 nt
Filed under: uncultured bacterium
Lineage: Bacteria
Description: partial 16S ribosomal RNA
Rfam family: Bacterial small subunit ribosomal RNA
Source: RNAcentral